RNAcentral lists this ribosomal RNA (366 nucleotides) under uncultured organism. Its description in RNAcentral is "bacterial SSU rRNA". It matches the Rfam family "Bacterial small subunit ribosomal RNA", at positions 526 to 896 of the family's 1533-position model. The record is from RNAcentral.
CGGAGGAUCCAAGCGUUAUCCGGAAUCAUUGGGUUUAAAGGGUCCGUAGGCGGGGUUAUAAGUCAGUGGUGAAAGCCCAUCGCUCAACGAUGGAACGGCCAUUGAUACUGUAGAUCUUGAAUUAUUAGGAAGUAACUAGAAUAUGUAGUGUAGCGGUGAAAUGCUUAGAGAUUACAUGGAAAACCAAUUGCGAAGGCAGGUUACUACUAAUGGAUUGACGCUGAUGGACGAAAGCGUGGGUAGCGAACAGGAUUAGAUACCCUGGUAGUCCACGCCGUAAACGAUGGAUACUAGCUGUUCGGAGCAAUCUGAGUGGCUAAGCGAAAGUGAUAAGUAUCCCACCUGGGGAGUACGUUCGCAAGAAUG